This 510-nucleotide ribosomal RNA is filed under the name Hemipyxis nr. soror 'Anjanaharibe'. Its description in RNAcentral is "partial 16S ribosomal RNA". The stretch from base 384 to 510 matches the Rfam family "Bacterial large subunit ribosomal RNA", at positions 2473 to 2600 of the family's 2925-position model. The record is from RNAcentral. Lineage: Eukaryota; Metazoa; Arthropoda; Insecta; Coleoptera; Chrysomelidae.
GUCUUUUUGUUAUAUUUUUAAAGUCUAGCCUGCCCCCUGAUUAUUUAAAUGGCCGCGGUAUUUUGACUGUGCUAAGGUAGCAUAAUCAUUAGUUUUUUAAUUGAAAGCUGGAAUGAAGGGUUUCAUGAAAGAAUAACUGUCUCUAUUUAAUUGUUUUUGAAAUUUAUUUUUAAGUUAAAAAGCUUAGAUAUAUUUAAAAGACGAGAAGACCCUAUAGAGUUUUAUUUUUAAUAUCAUUAUAAAUUUAUGGAAUUUAUAGUUUUAUUUUUUAUUAAAAAUUUAAUUGGGGUGAUUGAAAAAUUUAAGUAACUUUUUUUAUACUUGUAUAUUUAUUAGUAAUUUUAUGAUCCAAAAGUUUUGAUUAAAAGAUAAAUUACCUUAGGGAUAACAGCGUAAUUUUAUUUUAAAGUUCUAAUUGAAAAUAAAGAUUGCGACCUCGAUGUUGGAUUAAAAUUAAUGUUUGGUGUAGAAGCUAGGCUAUUAAGUCUGUUCGACUUUUAAAAUUUUACA